Molecule: ribosomal RNA, 253 nt
Filed under: uncultured bacterium
Lineage: Bacteria
Description: partial 16S ribosomal RNA
Rfam family: Bacterial small subunit ribosomal RNA
Source: RNAcentral
UACAGAGGGGGCAAGCGUUGUUCGGAAUUACUGGGCGUAAAGGGCGCGUAGGCGGCCCGCUAAGUCGAACGUGAAAUCCCCGGGCUCAACCCGGGAACUGCGUCCGAGACUGGCAGGCUCGAAUCCGGGAGAGGGAUGUGGAAUUCCAGGUGUAGCGGUGAAAUGCGUAGAUAUCUGGAGGAACACCGGUGGCGAAGGCGGCAUCCUGGACCGGUAUUGACGCUGAGGCGCGAAAGCCAGGGGAGCAAACGGG